AAGAGAAAGGUGUUUCCCUAAAGAAGCCGCUAACUAUCUUUAUUAACAGUUAAAUUCUGUUAUUCUCUUA
Molecule: transfer RNA, 70 nt
Filed under: Plerochila australis
Lineage: Eukaryota; Metazoa; Arthropoda; Insecta; Hemiptera; Tingidae
Description: tRNA-Ser
Source: RNAcentral